This 336-nucleotide unclassified non-coding RNA is filed under the name soil metagenome. Its description in RNAcentral is "partial contains 5.8S ribosomal RNA, internal transcribed spacer 2, and large subunit ribosomal RNA". The stretch from base 1 to 120 matches the Rfam family "5.8S ribosomal RNA", at positions 35 to 154 of the family's 154-position model. The record is from RNAcentral.
GAUGAAGAACGCAGUGAAAUGCGAUAAGUAAUGCGAAUUGCAGAAUUCCGUGAGUCAUCGAAUCUUUGAACGCACAUUGCGCCCUCUGGUAUUCCGGAGGGCAUGCCUGUCUGAGCGUCAUUGUCAACCCUCAAGCUCAGCUUGCUGUUGGGUCCCCGUCGUUGCUUCAACGGCGGACCCGAAAGAUAACGGCAGAGUCCGUGAGACCCUGGAUGCAGCGAGCUUCUAGCACGCGUCUGGACGGUUUUUGGGCUUGGUCUUAACCAGAUAACUUCUGAUUGACCUCAGAUCAGGUAGGGAUACCCGCUGAACUUAAGCAUAUCAAUAAGCGGAGGA